GCGGGGGGGGGGGCAGCCACCUCUGGAGAGCAGUGUGUGUGCAACUUCAGCACGCAUAAGUCACUGGGAGGGCUUGCAAAAGCACGACAGCUCAGCUCACCCGAGUGGCUGCCUAGGUCCACCAGGGUGGGCCAAGUGGCUGCCUCCGCUGAGCCAGAUGCUCCACAGCACCCCCUGGAGGACACCCUGGGCCCUGCACAGAGGCCGCCCUGAACCCCAGCUUCCAGGCCCAGUAGAGUCCAGGCAGGGCAGUCUGACUUGUAGCUCUCAGGACACCAGCAGAACUCAAAGAUGGGUUGAGAUACUGCUUUAAAUUUUUUGUUGAUUUUUGAGACAGGGUCUCUUUAUGGAGUUCGGACUAGCCUUGAACUCACUAUGUAGCCUAGAAUGCCUCCAACUUGCAGCUAUCCUCCUGCCUCAGCCUCCCAAGUGCUGAGAUUACAGGCGUGCACCGCCUGCCCAGUUUGUAUGCUAAUUUUUAAGAGAAAGAACAAAGAAGCUCUGUGUUGUCAGCUUUCCAUUACUGUAGCAAAUACCUGAGUUAAAUCAAUUUAAAGAGAGGAACUGGUGGCAGGCAUGGUGGCACAUCUGUAAUCCCAGUAUUCUGGGAGGCUGAGGCAGGGGGAUCACAAGUUGGAUCCCACUAUGGCAACUUAGCACGACCCUGUUUCAGAAAUUUAAAAAAGGGGGACUGGGCGUGUACUCAGGGCCAAGGUCCUGGGUUGGAUCCCCAGUACCUCCUCACCCCCAUGCACAAGGAAAUGUUUAUUUUGGCUCAUGGUGCUGAGGCUUCAGUCCCUGGGUGGUUAGCACUGCAGCAGCAUGUGGGCAGGGGAUCCCCCCUCCAGGGCUGGGGGGUGGGCUGGAAGGGGACACUGGUGUCCCACAGCCCCUCCUAAGGUGAGACCUGGUGACCUCACCUUCCCACCAGGCUCAAAGGCUCCAGCCCUUCCCCGCAGGGGCAAGGUGGGGACCUCGCCCUUGACAUGCGGCCUUGGGUGCCUGACCCCAGGUGUCAGGUCCCAUGGCAGUGGCCUCCCCUCCACAAGAAGUGGUGCCACGGGUGACCCAAUGUCUCCCCACGAAAGCAGAAGACAUAAAGAAAAGGCUGAGCCCUCAGCCACCAGACCUGAGUGUAGCUGAUUCCUGGUGGCUCCCUCGGGCUCUGUCCUCCUUACCCCUGGGGCACCCGGGCCCUUCUGCGCACCUCGCCCACUUCCCCACGCCCAGCCUCUCUGCCCUCUCUGUGCCUCUUGCUCCUCUGCCCAUGCAGUUAAAAAUAAAAAAUCUCCCUGUGAUGUAGAUAUCACACACACUGCCUUCACCCUCAGGGAGGGCACAGGGGCCUUCAGAGCAGGGCCCGGACUUCAGGACUUCAGCUAGGUGUCGGGCCUGGCACCCAGCUAGGCUCCGCAGAGGCGUGUCAUGAUUGGUCGGGAUCGAAGGCCAUGGGCGGAGCCCUGAGAAGUGGGCGUGGCCUCCACCUGCCUGCAGGUGACUGUGGCUUCAAGGCUUCAAGCUCUCCGUCUGGCCAAGGGCAGAAAUAAGAAAAAGGAGACUUGCUCAAGGGGAAAAGGGUGCUUUGGAGGGAAGAGAGGAUGAGUCCUGCAAGCAGAACCUAUCACUGCGGGAACAAGAGGGCAGUGGCCCAAAAGGCCUUUGCUGCUGUCCUUUCACGUCUUCUCUGAAAGCUGACCCAGGUGGCCCCACUGGCUCUCGCGCUAGAGGCCAAUGUCAAGUGCCAGCUUCGUGCACUCUCCACCGCACGCGCAGUGUCUCUCCCGAGAGGAGGGCGAGGAGCUGGAGCCAGAGAGCAGCUGACUGUCCUCCCAGUCGGCCAGAGGAGCCGCCUGCAUGUCCCAUCUGCACUGCGACCAGAGCUGUGCCCAGCUGGGCCCAGCUGACACCCGGGCUCCUUGGCACCAGAAAUCACGCUUUAAGCUUUAAGCGCUGCUUGGCAUCCAACCUGCUACUCAGCGAAGGACAAAGCACUUCGUUCCCAGCUCUCUUCUGUGCUGUCGCCACUUCCCUCAAAGGGGCCACCUGUGUCCAAGGCCUCACCGCAGGUCCUGUGUUCUCCAGAGAAUGCGACACAACCCAAGGGCGAAGCCGACUGGGGCCAGGCCUCACGGUCGAGGGAACUGGGGACAGUGACUCCCGAGGUCUGCGCUCCCGCAGUCUUCAGAAGCAGAAAUGGACCCAGGUGAGAAAUUUAGCAACUGGCAGCCAGUGUCCUGGCCCGGUGGCCCAUGGCAAAUUCUACUGGGUUUCCAGUCUGCAGGUGGCCUUGCCAAGGCCUGCAGGCAGGGAGGGAGGUGGCCCCUCUCCGAGGCUUGGGGGGCAGGGCGCCUCUGUGCCCACACAACUGCUCCUGCUCCUUCCAGGCAGAGGAAACAGAUUGCCCGUCAGACACAAUGCUUCCUUUGGCUCCUGUUUUCCUCCUCAAAUCAAAUUACCCCACUGACACAAAUUUCAGCAACACUUGCAUUUCAGGUCACAGGGACUUAGUGCUGCAAU
Non-coding RNA from Heterocephalus glaber (naked mole-rat), 2517 nucleotides. Lineage: Eukaryota; Metazoa; Chordata; Mammalia; Rodentia; Bathyergidae. The record is from RefSeq and is a predicted model, not a curated record.